RNAcentral lists this small RNA (68 nucleotides) under Mycobacterium adipatum. Its description in RNAcentral is "Mycobacterium sp. YC-RL4 ASdes TB sRNA". It matches the Rfam family "ASdes TB sRNA". Lineage: Bacteria; Bacillati; Actinomycetota; Actinomycetes; Mycobacteriales; Mycobacteriaceae. The record is from Rfam by way of RNAcentral.
AGCGCGAUGACGUCAACCGCGCGGGUGACCACGAGAUAGUCACGAAGAGCGAUACCGUGCCGAUUCUC